This 4095-nucleotide long non-coding RNA is filed under the name Homo sapiens (human). RNAcentral's name for it is "HSALNT0119535". Lineage: Eukaryota; Metazoa; Chordata; Mammalia; Primates; Hominidae. The record is from RNAcentral.
UAAUGUAACACAAAGUAAAUAAGGAAGCGUUUUGCAUAUUCUUAGAUUUUUACAUUUUUAUUUUAAAACAGAGAAUUUCAUAUUGAUUAACACCUACUACUAAACAGAAUGAUGCAUUAAUUAAAUGCCUUGUCCUAACUGUUAUAAGCUCUGUUAGAAAAAUAAACAUCUCACCACAAACUACAGUGUCAGCUCUUUAAUAAAUACAUAAAACAGAAGUUAGUAGUCAAUCAGAGUUAUAUGAACAGGUUCAUAGUAUAUUAUGUGAAAGUAUCAUAUUCUCCAAUAUUCUGUAUCAUUUAAGACAAUUUAAGUUACGUAUAAUUCAAAGCCAGAAAUAAUAAGAAAUAUGUUCAGUGAUAAUUUGCUUCUUUCUUAGAGCUAUUUUAUAUUCAAAUAUUUAAUUUAAAAAUAUAUUCUAUAUUAAAUUUAUUUUUACAAACGCAGUAUUCGUUAGGUGAAACAAAAUAAGUUUUUAUGUUACUGAUAAGUUUAAUACAUUUCUAAUUUUUUUCAGAAGUUCAAGAAACCAUAAUGAAGUAGCUAAUGUAAAAUAGUUUAAAAGCUAUGUUAAAUAUACACAAAAUGAAUUUCUAUAUUAAUAUGUGCAAAUGUAUAUUUUCUUAUAAUUUAGAAUUAAAGUACUUUAUACUCAAUAUUCUUAAUAAAAUUUAUGUACCAUACUUGUCAUUGCGUAGACUUCUUAUCAAAAUUUCACAUUUAUCUGUAGGAAAAUGUAAAGUUGGUAAAAAUUGUUUACACAAAUCACACAUUUUCCAUCCUUGACAAUUGCAGUAAAUGUCACAAUUUCAGAGAUGUUAAAUUGAAAAAGUGAUGUCUUGGAAUCAAUGAAAUAUAAAUAUGGAUAUGUAUAAUCAGUUAUACAUAAAAAUUUGCUAUAGAGGAAUUAUAAAAGAAAAGGAAAAUUAUUUGAAAGAAUGUUAGCUAUAUCUCAGUGGUCUGCAUUGCAUAAAAUGGAGUUCUUGAGGUCAAUAUAAAUAAGGAUAGUUGUAAAUUAAAUAUUGAGUCAACAUAACAGAAUGCAAUCUGCACAUGAUUGAGCUCCCAUGUAACUAUAUUUCACUUGAUACUUUUAUGAAAACAUAUAUAUUCCAAAUCCUUCAAAAUGAAAAGAAGCUCAAACAGUUGUGAAAAUUUAGAAUUCUUAGAUUUUAAUGGGUCUGUCUUUGUUCAGGGGCAAAGACUCAAAUGAGCUUUAAGAUCAAUUAAAGAUGUCUGGAAAUGAAGAACUUCAUUAUACCAUUAAAUUCAGUUAUUUUUCACUAUUAGGCUUAUUAAGCUUGAAGCUUUAGGAAAUCUCUUGGGAAGAGUGAGUGGAAAAAACAGGAGUAAGAAAAGGAAGAAAAAGCCUUUGAGUCUAAUCUACUCUACCAGGUUCCAGGAAGAAUAUAAUUCUACAGAGAAAAUUCUUCAUAAUCUAUCAUAAUAUAUUUCAGUGUCUGAUGGCUGACUCUUGUCUUGCAUAAAGAUAUCUUCAGUGGAUAUUAAGUAAAUAUUAAAAAUAUAUUUCAGAUUCAUUCUUUGAAGGAUUGCAUCUCAUGCAUCCACAAAUUUUAAUGUUGAGUUUUGGAAAAUUGCCUCCAGAGAUAUCUACUGUGUUUAAUCUUAGAUUUUUUUUUUAUUUUAAUAAACCAAAGAUAAACUGAACAUUUAAGACAUAAUCAGAUUUUUAGUGAAUUUUUAAGUCCUCCAGAAAAGUCUAUGACUUAAUAAAUAUUAGCAAGUUUCCAAAAAUAUAACAAAUGUUUAUAAAUACGUGUGCACUGCAGUGCAAUGGUGUCCCCAGAGAAAUAAAAUGCAUAACAAAGCAAAUGUUAUGUUGUAGUGUAUGUAUGGCACAUUUAUAAAUCAUUACAUACUUUAGGGCACAAAAAUGCUGCAGUACUAAAAGUGUUGUUCAAGUUCUCAAUUCUGUUAACAAUUUAAAAUUUCAUUAAUUGUGUUUAAUAUCAAUGAAUCUCAAAAGGCUCCUGUGGCCAUAUUAGUUGAAAAUAGACUCUAUUUGCAUACAUUAUUUAACCUAAGAGUACCCUGUGUUCCCUUACCAUUUAAUUAAUUCUAACUAGUCAAAUAUUAAUUCUCAUCUCACAAAUCAUUACACAGGAAGAUAUCAAUUAUUCAAGUAAAAUACAAGCCCUACAAUCUUUAAAAAUUAGCUUUUUAAGUAAAAACAAAAAAGAUAAGCACAAGACUUUGCAAGCAUAACCACAAUCAUCGUCUAACACUGAGUUGCCUACAAGGAAGUUUGUCCCUUCCUAUGGUAACAGCCUUGGUCCACUAUAAAGUUAGUGCAAACAAGUGAGGGUAUAAAAAAAAUAUAAACUCUGGAUUUUUAAGGAUUUCAUUUUGUUAUACUCUUUUUGGAUAAUUCAUUCCAUACGGAAAUUUGUUUAUUGUUCAUAAAUAUCAUAAUGUUCAUUUCAAAAAUUGUCAUCAUCUUAAUGGCUAUCUUACACUUUUUUCUUUUGGAGGGUUGUCAGGCAUCCAUCCAUUUUCCUUUUUAAGAAGAACGUUAUGUGUAUUAGGCUACUAAACCCAAUUUUUACAUUAUUUUUAGUGAUCAAAGGUUUCUUAUACAAGUGACUCACAGUACUGAAUUAUGUCAAUCUCUCAUUUGAGGAAGGAAAUGCAGUUCAAGUUAGCAUUGAAAGUGCUUGGCUGUAGAGGACAUCUAACAGAGCUGCUGUGUUUAUUGGCUCCAGAACAACUUAUUAUAGGUUUUUCAGUUCUCUUUAGGGUAGAAUAUGAGAUGGGGUUAGUCUUCAUCAAAAUGCAGUAUCUAGUACUUUAACUCAAGUGCUGGAAGACAGCAAAUCUUGGAAGUUUAUUAUAAAAAAAAAGAUAUUUCGGAUAGAUUCCUUUGUUGUCAUGGGCAAAACUGUAUAUCCACACAGGACUGUUAGACUCCUAGCCAAUAAAAUCAGACUAAGUCCAUAGGGAUAAGGUAAGUGUAAAUAAAUUUCCAUUGGGGAAGACAGGGCUCAUGGCCCGUGUAUCAAGGUCUCAAGCUGAGCACUGGAGAACUCCAGGGAACACUGUUCAUACAGGCUAUGGUGCGAAGGAAUUCCCCUGUAGGUAUGCCAUACUUCAGUCUCUUAAGAAGCUGAUUAGCAUGAAAGACUGGAAGCUGAUUAUGGACAAUUCAGUUUGAAUUAUUCCUUUCUAUUUUGCUUUGAACUUUCCUCAUACACUUAAGACAUGAGUAAAUCACUUGAGUGUUUUCUGAGAAAUCGUUUAAGUUUUCUGAGGCUCAGUUCCCUAACUCACUAAAAAGGAGAAUUAGCAGCCUGGCAUGGUGGCUCAUGCCUGUAAUCCCAACACUCUGGGAGGCCGAGGAGGGUAGAUCACCUGAGGUCAGGAGUUUGAGAUCAACCUGUCCAACAUGGCAAAACCCCGUCUCUACUAAAAAUACAAAAAUUAGCUGGGCACGGUGGUGGAUGCCUGUAAUCCCAGCUACUCAGGAGGCUGAGGCAGGAGAACUGCUUGAACCCGGGAGGCAGAGGUUGCAGUGAACCCUAAUUGCGCCAUUGCACUUCAGCCUGGGUGACAAGAGUGAAACUCCGUCUCAAAAAAAAAAAAAAAAAAAAAAAAAGCUUAUUUCUAAGAUAUCAUCUAUUCUCCAAUUUUGUACUUUUAUGAAUUCUGGCAAGAAGGGUUGGAGUGAUUCUGGGAAAGAACAUCCUUAGGCUGCCUUGAAGGGAGAAGAUAAUAUAGCUUUUCAUUUAAAAAAUGCUGAUAUCUACUUGCAAUCAAAAUCUAAGAAAACAUUCAAAAUGUGGUACUUUGCUUGAGGCAGAAUUUCUAACUAUCUUGUGAAUUAAUGAUAAGAUAAAUGAAAUGGCCAAACAAUCCCUUCAGUUUACCAGGUAAGAGGAUACAAAACUCCACACUUGUGCACAAUGAAGCUAUUCAGGUUUUGAUGAUACUUUACAGUGUCCCCUAUUAACAUUCAGCUUUUAAAACUAGUAUUCUGAUAAAGUGACAUUGUAUUAUUAGUUUUUUAUGGCAGUAGUAACUUAGCACUUAAUUAAUCCAGUCAUCUGUGACAUACAUAAACUUAUCCUGUAAAAAAGA